Molecule: long non-coding RNA, 1244 nt
Organism: Temnothorax curvispinosus
Lineage: Eukaryota; Metazoa; Arthropoda; Insecta; Hymenoptera; Formicidae
Exons: 3
Source: RefSeq, a predicted model, not a curated record
AAAUCGAGUCCAACCGCACUACUAUUGUGAUAUUAGGACUACCUUAAGAGCGACUAUUUUAACUUAUAGAUUCAUGAUUUACGCACCAAAAUGCACAAAAUUGUGAAGUUUCAGAGCCAAAUUGACUUGUGAAUGCUAGAGAAAUAUCAAGAUGAGUAAAUACCAUAGGCAGCGUUUAACACCGAAACAUCAAGAUUCCCAGCAUUUACUGUUCUCAAUUUUCACAGCAAAUGAUAUAAGGAAUUUGAGUGUAACGAAAAUCAGAACACCAUUAUCUUUUAACAUUCUUGGACAUCCAUUAAAGGGUGGAUUAUAUGAUCCAUCCUUAGGGGAGAAUGGGCAUGAAAGAGCUAGUAUUUUUCAAAAUAUGAAAAAGGUAUUUAAUCUGGUGUUAAUGAAGUAAAACCGGUUUCUAACUUAAGUGUACUUAUUUAUCUAUAAGAUCAAUUUAACAAAAUAAUAUUUAGUCAUUAACAGAUUUUAAUCACUUUUUUAAAGAUAAAGAAUUUGGCUCUUUUAACACAUGGCUUUGAAAAAGCCCGUUUUGUUGAGCCAGGUACUAAUAAAUUAAGCUAAUAACACAAAAUCAAAGUAUGUUAUCCUUUAGCAAAAAUUAUCUUCUUAGAAAACUAAUAAAUAUCUGAAAGAUAGAAAAUAUAAUAUUUUAAAUCAAAAACACACUUAUUACAAAAGAAAUAAAAAUUUUCUCUACUGCAACAUGAGUUAUAAAAGCCAUUGCACAACUUGCACUGAUACCAAUCUUCAUUACUUACAGAAUAAUCUUUUGAACAGACACAGUUAUUGUUGUUUCUUUCAUCACCGACUCUUUCAUAACUAUCAUAACUAUGUGUAAAAAAUUUAACCACAAAAUAUCUGAUAAACCAAAACAAACGAAAGAGUUGUAACUACGUUUUUAGUUAGGUUAGUAUAUAUAGCAUUUAAUUAAAAAAAUACUUUUCCUAAAAGCUAAUUGCAAAUAAAUGGAAAAGACAUGGAAAUUUAACUCAAAAACUUACUUUUUGUCGUAAUAAUCUUUUACCUCACUACGGCAACACUAAAAUGUCUAUGGAUGACGUAGUUUCAGUGUUGCUAUGAAAUAAAAAUAUUUUAAAAUUUUUUGCUACAAUCAGUUGGUUGAAAUGGCUCUUUCAAAACAUGGUUCUCCCACUCUCCCCUAAGAGUAUAUUGUACAUAUUAAUAUCAUUAAUCUAAUGUAUGUACAUAUACUACGUUUACGCGAGCGU